AAGAUCAUACUUUCAGGGAUCAUUUCUAUAGUCUUUGACUUGCUCCUUGCCAUUGAAAGUGAUCGGUUACUCUCUAGUGGAUGAAGAGAACUGAUGUUCCUUCUGAGUGGUUAGCAGGCAGUGAGUGAUGAUGCAUUUCAAAAUGCUCCUUGUCAUUGAUGACCGUUCCAUGCUCUCUAGUGGAGCCUGGCCUAGGGAUGGCCUCAUGAUCAGAGAUGG
Molecule: small nucleolar RNA, 219 nt
Gene: U3
Rfam family: Small nucleolar RNA U3
About the family: Small nucleolar RNAs (snoRNAs) are involved in the processing and modification of rRNA in the nucleolus. There are two main classes of snoRNAs: the box C/D class, and the box H/ACA class.
Source: Ensembl